UGCGUAGGUGGCAAGCGUUGUCCGGAUUUAUUGGGUUUAAAGGGUGCGUAGGUGGUCUAUUAAGUCAGUGCUGAAAUAUCCCGGCUUAACCGGGAGGGUGGCAUUGAUACUGAUGGACUUGAGUAAAGUUGAGGUGGGCGGAAUUGACGGUGUAACGGUGAAAUGCUUAGAUAUCGUCAAGAACACCUAUUGCGAAGGCAGCUCACUAAGCUUUAACUGACACUGAGGCACGAAAGUGUGGAGAUCAAACAGG
RNAcentral lists this ribosomal RNA (253 nucleotides) under uncultured bacterium. Its description in RNAcentral is "partial 16S ribosomal RNA". It matches the Rfam family "Bacterial small subunit ribosomal RNA", at positions 524 to 776 of the family's 1533-position model. The record is from RNAcentral.